GGGAGCGUGGGACGAGUCGUCGGUUACACGGUUAGGGGGUUGGCGUUGGUCGGACGAGUUGGGGGGAAAGGGCGGGUAGCGGGCCCGGGAAGGGCGCUGUGAAAGUCGGGGGCUCAAACCUCGAAGGCCGGUGGAUACUGUCGGGCGAGAGUGCGGAAGAGGCGAGUGGAGUUACUUGGGUGGCGAUGAAAUGCGCAGAUAUCAGUAGGAACACCGAUUGCGAAGGCAGCUCGCUGGGACGUAACUGACGCUGAGACGCGAAAGCGUGGGGAGCAAACAGGAUUAGAUACCCCUGUAGUC
RNAcentral lists this ribosomal RNA (300 nucleotides) under uncultured Brevibacterium sp. RNAcentral describes it as "partial 16S ribosomal RNA". The stretch from base 59 to 300 matches the Rfam family "Bacterial small subunit ribosomal RNA", at positions 554 to 795 of the family's 1533-position model. The record is from RNAcentral. Lineage: Bacteria; Bacillati; Actinomycetota; Actinomycetes; Micrococcales; Brevibacteriaceae.